GUUUAUAGUUUUGGCGCCCAUACCGGACGGGGUAUGGGGACGGCCCUGGAAUCUGAUUUCAAGUGUUAAGGGUUAACGGGUAACGGGACCCCUAUGGAUCCCCAUGGAUACUAGUGGGCUGGUAAAUGAGGAAAAUAUGUUGUGUAAUGAUUGAAUUACAAAAGGCGUAAUAAGUAUUAUGUUAUACAGUUUAUAUAUGAUUUCAUGAUGAUGAUAAUGUUAUUGCUUUCGUAUACUGUUUUAUGAAUUUCACCGAGGUAAGUGGAUGGUAAAGGAUUUAUUAUUGACAAAAGAAUUUGUUGUAAAUUAUGCUCCAUUGGUCUUUUUGUGUUUUCUACCCACCUUUACCUCCGUGACGGUGAGAUAUCGUGAUGUCUUUACUGGGCUAGUGUAGCUCAUUCCUUAUUUAAUUAUUUCAGAUCAGGAAGACAUUGUUCCUGAGCCCGUUCCGCAGGAGGACGACGAAGGAGACGCCUAAAGACUCCAUAGUCAUAUUCGUAGCUUUUACUUUCAAGUUUCGCCUUUAGGUAGUUUGAUCUUUUAUAUUUUGUGAG
This 554-nucleotide long non-coding RNA is filed under the name Carica papaya (papaya). Its description in RNAcentral is "long non-coding RNA (CPAP_LNC001737)". Lineage: Eukaryota; Viridiplantae; Streptophyta; Magnoliopsida; Brassicales; Caricaceae. The record is from RNAcentral.